Molecule: long non-coding RNA, 1874 nt
Filed under: Heterocephalus glaber (naked mole-rat)
Lineage: Eukaryota; Metazoa; Chordata; Mammalia; Rodentia; Bathyergidae
Description: lncRNA (ENSHGLG00100049913.1)
Source: RNAcentral
UCAUUUCCCUUCUCUUUUAGUAUCUGGCUGUCUCAGAACAUAAAAAAGGGGCUGGGAAUUGGGCUCAGUACCAAAAAAAUAGAGAAAGAACAGAAAGGCUCGUGGAGGACAGCACAGCUGUCUGCAUGCAUGGGUCAGACAGUCCACUGGCAGGAUUACCAAACAGUGGCUGUGGAGGCAGGAAAGGCAUGUCUGGGGUCAUCCUCGCUAGUGGGUAGCACAGCCACUGGUCUGCAGUGAUUAUUCUGUCCCCCUCCCUCUACUAAUCUCAUUUGCUUGUUGAUGUUCCAGCCAUAAUCUUAGGAACACACCUCAUUUGACUUGCUCAGAAGUGUGGCUUUGGUUACAGGCCUGAAAGAGGAAAGACAUAAUGCUGAUAAGUAAAUUGCGCAAGGUCAAAAUACUAAUAAAUAAGAAUUUGAACCUGGUUUUGAUUCCAAAGUCCAAGAGGACCCUUCAGCUGCAUCCACCCUUCAGUCCACACCAAAACUUUCGGCCAUACCAGGAGCUGUAACUGGAUGAGUUUCCAUCAUUCCUGACAGCAUUCUUUCAUCCCUGCUCGCAACACUCAACAUGUCUGUCUUCUCACCUCCAUUUCUCCAAGUGAGUUCUGAAGGAAAAUGACAGAAACCGUUCUAGAGCAGAACUCGUCCGGAUACUAAGGUGAUAACACCUGCAAGGCAGCGAGGCACCUUCCAGAUCAAUCUCCAGAUGCAGUAAUUGUCUCAGUCUCAGUUUCCCAAUGUUGGACCGAGUACACUUUUGCAUAGGAAAGCAGCAUACAAGUGGGGGUCUGUAUUAAUUUAAACCUAAUCUUGAUAAAUAGUUACUAUAUUGUCAUUGUCUCAAGAUCAAAAUUGCUGUUAAUAUUUCUAUAUUUUGUAGAGGGAAAAGAGAGAGGAAAAAAAUAGUUAUUUUAAUCUAGCAUGGCCAGUGUAGCUAAAAGUGUGCCUUGAUUUAGUAUAAUUGUUUUAUGUGUUUUAUAUGUUUUUGGCUAGUUAAUCUGGCUGUUAAUCUGUGUUUAUAGUUAACUUGGUAAAGACAUAAAAUAAAUAAAUCUAAUGCUGGCCAAAAGAGAGAAAAAAUAUUUUUUAAUUAGGGUGGAAGGGAAGGAGAAAAAAAGAAUUGAGAUGUAUUAUAUGAAUAUACUGAUACCCCACAACAAGUAUAAUCAUAAUAUACUGCAAACAUGCACUAAUAAAAAAUUUUUAAAAUAUACCUGUGUUUUGUUACUGCAACGGGUAAGUUCCGCCACGCCCGGCUUGGACAGCUCUUCUUGCUGUGGUACUGAGCAGGAAGAGGCUGGUCAAGGUGGGCACUCACUUACUAGUGGGAUUAGAGGAUGCACAGCCCUCCUCUGCCUCGUGAUCACAACCCUCGGCUUAACAGUGUGCCCAAAAUUCCCAGUUGCCCAUCUUCUGGGGGAACAUAAAGCCUUGAAAUCUCAUCUUUGAUAAUUGAUACUCGGAAUGAACAUGUUGCUGUUCUCCAAUAGCAUAGUCCACCACGCCCGGCUUGGACAGCUCUUCUUGCUAUGGUACUGAGCAGGAAGAGGCUGGUCAAGGUGGGCACUCCCUUACUAGUGGGAUUAGAGGAUGCACAGCCCUCCUCUGCCUCGUGAUCACAACCCUCGGCUUAACAGUGUGCCCAAAAUUCCCAGUUGCCCAUCUUCUGGGGGAACAUAAAGCCUUGAAAUCUCAUCUUUGAUAAUUGAUACUCGGAAUGAACAUGUUGCUGUUCUCCAAUAGCAUGGUCCACCACGCCCGGCUUGGACAGCUCUUCUUGCUAUGGUACUGAGCAGGAAGAGGCUGGUCAAGGCGGGCACUCCCUUACUAGUGGGAUUAGAGGAUGCACAGCCCUCCUCUGCCUCGUGA